UCGAACGGGAAAAUUUCAUUGAGACUUCGGUGGAUUUGAUCUAUUUCUAGUGGCGGACGGGUGAGUAACGCGUGGGUAACCUGCCUUAUACAGGGGGAUAACAGUCAGAAAUGGCUGCUAAUACCGCAUAAGCGCACAGAGCUGCAUGGCUCAGUGUGAAAAACUCCGGUGGUAUAAGAUGGACCCGCGUUGGAUUAGCUAGUUGGUGGGGUAACGGCCCACCAAGGCGACGAUCCAUAGCCGGCCUGAGAGGGUGAACGGCCACGUUGGGACUGAGACACGGCCCAGACUCCUACGGGAGGCAGCAGUGGGGAAUAUUGCACAAUGGGGGAAACCCUGAUGCAGCGACGCCGCGUGAAGGAAGAAGUAUCUCGGUAUGUAAACUUCUAUCAGCAGGGAAGAUAGUGACGGUACCUGACUAAGAAGCCCCGGCUAACUACGUGCCAGCGGCCGCGGUAAUACGUAGGGGGCAAGCGUUAUCCGGAUUUACUGGGUGUAAAGGGAGCGUAGACGGUGUGGCAAGUCUGAUGUGAAAGGCAUGGGCUCAACCUGUGGACUGCAUUGGAAACUGUCAUACUUGAGUGCCGGAGGGGUAAGCGGAAUUCCUAGUGUAGCAGUGAAAUGCGUAGAUAUUAGGAGGAACACCAGUGGCGAAGGCGGCUUACUGGACGGUAACUGACGUUGAGGCUCGAAAGCG
This 697-nucleotide ribosomal RNA is filed under the name uncultured bacterium. RNAcentral describes it as "bacterial SSU rRNA". It matches the Rfam family "Bacterial small subunit ribosomal RNA", at positions 62 to 761 of the family's 1533-position model. The record is from RNAcentral.